CCCGUACCCGCUGGGGUUCCCGACACGCCCUGGCUUCAGGCAGGGCUGGAUUCAGGGACAGGGGUUCCAGCAGCCUCAGCUUUAAGUGGGGAGUUAAGGGGUUCAAUGUCGACAGGAAAAAUAGAAUUUUAUGAAGCUCUGAGCAAAGUCCCGAGUCCUCUCUGAAUGGGAUCUUCAGGCCGCCAAGUCCCUGCAGCUCGGGGGUGUGAAGCUGUGACUGACAGGCCUCGGUCUACCGAGACCACAGACUGAGGAGGCAGAGGCGGGCCCUAAAACUAGAUGGGAACGGACACCGUAGGGGGCCAGGUCCCCACCUGAGGCCCACCUGCCUCACUGGACCAGCACCGGGGCUCGAGUCUGCACCCCACCUACCCACCUCCCCGCAGUGUCCCGGCCACCCCACGCAGCUCUCUGGACAUCGUGUCCCGGCUGCCCCACACAAGUCUCUGAGGCCCGGGCAGCUCUCUGGACACCUUUCUGCUACUUGUGCCACACUGUUGGUUCUUGGGCCCGAGCUGUUCCCACCUCCCAUGCCCAGCAGGUCCCGGUUAUGUCCCGGUUAUGUCCGGUUUACGUCCUGGUUAUGUCCAGGUUAUGUCCCGGUUGUGUUCCGGUUAUGUCCUGGUUAGGUCCGGGUUAUGUCCGGGUUAUGUCCGGGUUAGGUUCCGGUUAUUUCUGGGUUAUGUCCGGGUUAGGUCCUGUUAUGUUCCGGUUAUUUCCAGGUUAGGUCCCAGUUAGGUCUGGGCGCAUCUGUCAGUCAUUGCUGUGUCCCAGCGAUGGCAAAUCUCAGUGUCUGCGGCCGUGAGCGCUCACAUUCUUCUCAGCUCUGCAGGUCAGCUGCAGGGCUCCCAUCCACCCCAGGGAGGAGUCAUGCCCGGCUGGAGCCUGGGUGACUGUGUUUCCCCAUGUGAGACCAGGGGAUGGGUGAGCCAGGCCUGUGAGGUAUAAGGCAAUGUCUGCAAGGGCGUCUGGGGAAGAUGCCCC
Molecule: long non-coding RNA, 984 nt
Filed under: Homo sapiens (human)
Lineage: Eukaryota; Metazoa; Chordata; Mammalia; Primates; Hominidae
Description: HSALNT0197804
Source: RNAcentral